Molecule: ribosomal RNA, 1283 nt
Filed under: Shewanella putrefaciens
Lineage: Bacteria; Pseudomonadati; Pseudomonadota; Gammaproteobacteria; Alteromonadales; Shewanellaceae
Description: bacterial SSU rRNA
Rfam family: Bacterial small subunit ribosomal RNA
Source: RNAcentral
UCGAGCGGCAGCACAAGGGAGUUUACUUCUGAGGUGGCGAGCGGCGGACGGGUGAGUAAUGCCUAGGGAUCUGCCCAGUCGAGGGGGAUAACAGUUGGAAACGACUGCUAAAACCGCAUACGCCCUACGGGGGAAAGGAGGGGACCUUCGGGCCUUCCGCGAUUGGAUGAACCUAGGUGGGAUUAGCUAGUUGGUGAGGUAAUGGCUCACCAAGGCGACGAUCCCUAGCUGUUCUGAGAGGAUGAUCAGCCACACUGGGACUGAGACACGGCCCAGACUCCUACGGGAGGCAGCAGUGGGGAAUAUUGCACAAUGGGGGAAACCCUGAUGCAGCCAUGCCGCGUGUGUGAAGAAGGCCUUCGGGUUGUAAAGCACUUUCAGUAGGGAGGAAAGGGUGUAGUUUAAUACGCUAUAUCUGUGACGUUACCUACAGAAGAAGGACCGGCUAACUCCGUGCCAGCAGCCGCGGUAAUACGGAGGGUCCGAGCGUUAAUCGGAAUUACUGGGCGUAAAGCGUGCGCAGGCGGUUUGUUAAGCGAGAUGUGAAAGCCCUGGGCUCAACCUAGGAAUAGCAUUUCGAACUGGCGAACUAGAGUCUUGUAGAGGGGGGUAGAAUUCCAGGUGUAGCGGUGAAAUGCGUAGAGAUCUGGAGGAAUACCGGUGGCGAAGGCGGCCCCGUGGACAAAGACUGACGCUCAUGCACGAAAGCGUGGGGAGCAAACAGGAUUAGAUACCCUGGUAGUCCACGCCGUAAACGAUGUCUACUCGGAAUUUUGGUGUCUUGAACACUGGGCUCUCAAGCUAACGCAUUAAGUAGCCCGCCUGGGGGAGUACGGCCGCAAGGUUAAAACUCAAAUGAAUUUGACGGGGGCCCGCACAAGCGGUGGAGCAUGUGGUUUAAUUCGAUGCAACGCGAAGAACCUUACCUACUCUUGACAUCCACAGAACUUUCCAGAGAUGGAUUGGUGCCUUCGGGAACUGUGAGACAGGUGCUGCAUGGCUGUCGUCAGCUCGUGUUGUGAAAUGUUGGGUUAAGUCCCGCAACGAGCGCAACCCCUAUCCUUAUUUGCCAGCACGUAAUGGUGGGAACUCUAGGGAGACUGCCGGUGAUAACCCGGAGGAAGGUGGGGACGACGUCAAGUCAUCAUGGCCCUUACGAGUAGGGCUACACACGUGCUACAAUGGCGAGUACAGAGGGUUGCAAAGCCGCGAGGUGGAGCUAAUCUCACAAAGCUCGUCGUAGUCCGGAUUGGAGUCGGCAACUCGACUCCAGGAAGUCGGAA